Populus euphratica (Euphrates poplar) is the source of this 541-nucleotide long non-coding RNA. RefSeq lists it as uncharacterized. The transcript is spliced from 2 exons. Lineage: Eukaryota; Viridiplantae; Streptophyta; Magnoliopsida; Malpighiales; Salicaceae. The record is from RefSeq and is a predicted model, not a curated record.
CAUAGAAUUAGGUGGCAAGCAAAGAAGUUCAGGCUCAAUAAAGAUCCAUUAACUAAUAUAGCACAAAAACAUUUGUAAAGUAUAUAGGGUAGUAAAACAAUAUGAAACUAAUUAAUAUUUUGCAUGAAACCAGACACUGAAUAAAGUCAUAAAGAUGACUACUAACAUAUUUUCCAAACUAUAAGAAUCACAAGUCUUCCAUCUCAUGUAGUCCAUGAUAAGUUGAAAUGAAAAUGCACAUUUAUAGAAGCUGAUCAAAUUUAAAAAAAAAAAAUCCAUUGAUCAUUGGCAGCAUCACCAAGCUUCUGUUCAGGUGUUGCUGGUCUGUGUCUGUGAUCUUCUCUUAUGCAUCUUCCUUGAAAUGUUUUUUCAUUUACUUAUUUAAUUUUUUAAACACCAAUUGAAAAAGGGUGCAAAGAGCUACAAGCAAGAAGCCAAUUUUCUCAGAAAGAUAAAUAAACAGUUUAAUGAUUACAAAAAAUUGUAGUAGCCAUGCUAUCACCACUACAAGUGCACAUCCAACUGGCUGAGAUAUCUAAAA